GAUGAACGCUAGCGGCAGGCCUAAUACAUGCAAGUCGGACGGGAUUGGAGAGCUUGCUUUCCAUGAGAGUGGCGCACGGGUGCGUAACACGUAUGUAACCUACCUUUAUCAGGGGAUAGCCUCUCGAAAGAGAGAUUAAGCCCGCAUAACAUCACGAUACAGCAUUGUAAUGUGAUCAAAUAUUUAUAGGAUAGAGAUGGGCAUGCGGAACAUUAGCUAGUUGGUAAGGUAAUGGCUUACCAAGGCUACGAUGUUUAGGGGAUCUGAGA
RNAcentral lists this ribosomal RNA (269 nucleotides) under uncultured bacterium. Its description in RNAcentral is "partial 16S ribosomal RNA". It matches the Rfam family "Bacterial small subunit ribosomal RNA", at positions 28 to 297 of the family's 1533-position model. The record is from RNAcentral.